Molecule: ribosomal RNA, 301 nt
Filed under: uncultured bacterium
Lineage: Bacteria
Description: partial 16S ribosomal RNA
Rfam family: Bacterial small subunit ribosomal RNA
Source: RNAcentral
CAGCCGCCGCGGUAAUACGAAGGUCCCGAGCGUUGUUCGGAAUCACUGGGCGUAAAGCGUGCGUAGGCGGUUUGUUAAGUCUGUUGUGAAAUCCCCGGGCUCAACCUGGGAAUGGCAAUGGAUACUGGCAAGCUAGAGUGUGUCAGAGGAUGGUGGAAUUCCCGGUGUAGCGGUGAAAUGCGUAGAGAUCGGGAGGAACAUCAGUGGCGAAGGCGGCCAUCUGGGACAACACUGACGCUGAGGCACGAAAGCGUGGGGAGCAAACAGGAUUAGAGACCCGUGUAGUCCCUGUCUCUUAUAC